Molecule: ribosomal RNA, 451 nt
Filed under: uncultured bacterium
Lineage: Bacteria
Description: bacterial SSU rRNA
Rfam family: Bacterial small subunit ribosomal RNA
Source: RNAcentral
AACGAACGCUGGCGGCAGGCUUAACACAUGCAAGUCGAACGGGUGUAGCAAUACACCAGUGGCAGACGGGUGAGUAACACGUGGGAACCUUCCUCGUAGUACGGAACAACUCAGGGAAACUUGUGCUAAUACCGUAUACGUCCGAGAGGAGAAAGAUUUAUCGCUAUGAGACGGGCCCGCGUCGGAUUAGGUAGUUGGUGGGGUAACGCCUACCAAGCCUACGAUCCGUAGCUGAUCUGAGAGGAUGAUCGGCCACACUGGGACUGAGACACGGCCCAGACUCCUACGGGAGGCAGCAGUGGGGAAUCUUGGACAAUGGGCGCAAGCCUGAUCCAGCCAUGCCGCGUGAGUGAAGAAGGCCUUAGGGUUGUAAAGCUCUUUUGGCAGGGACGAUAAUGACGGUACCUGCAGAAUAAGCCCCGGCAAACUUCGUGCCAGCCGCCGCGGUAAU